UACAGAGGGUGCGAGCGUUGUUCGGAAUUAUUGGGCGUAAAGCGCUUGUAGGCGGCACGUCAAGUCGCGUGUGAAAUCCCCAGGCUUAACCUGGGAAGUGCGCGCGAAACUGACGAGCUUGAGUGCCGGAGAGGGUCGCGGAAUUCCCGGUGUAGAGGUGAAAUUCGUAGAUAUCGGGAGGAACACCAGUGGCGAAGGCGGCGACCUGGGCAGAUACUGACACUGAGGUGCGAAAGCGUGGGGAGCAAACAGG
RNAcentral lists this ribosomal RNA (253 nucleotides) under uncultured bacterium. RNAcentral's name for it is "partial 16S ribosomal RNA". It matches the Rfam family "Bacterial small subunit ribosomal RNA", at positions 524 to 776 of the family's 1533-position model. The record is from RNAcentral.